CUUAGUUGAAUUGAGUUGAGUAUUGCACCACUCUCUACUUAUUUCACACAUCUUCAAUUAAUUAGCAACAACCCUCUAAAAUUCAACUAGCUUCCAAGCAAUGCAGUACACAAAGAUUAGUUAUCAAGAUAAGAACACGAAAGCAAAUAAACACAAGAUUGAGAGAGAGAGAACAUCUGUUCUACUUCAAAACAACAGAUAAAAGAUCACUUCUGUUAUAACUCCAU
Molecule: unclassified non-coding RNA, 227 nt
Filed under: Hevea brasiliensis (rubber tree)
Lineage: Eukaryota; Viridiplantae; Streptophyta; Magnoliopsida; Malpighiales; Euphorbiaceae
Source: RNAcentral